GAUGAACGCUGGCGGCGUGCCUAAUACAUGCGAGUCGAGCGAACAGACGAGAGUGCUUGCACUCUCUGACGUUAGCGGCGGACGGGUGAGUAACACGUGGGUAACCUACCUAUAAGACUGGGAUAACUUCGGGAAACCGGAGCUAAUACCGGAUAAUAUUUAGCUUCGCAUGAAGCAAUAGUGAAAGACGGUUCUGCUGUCACUUAUAGAUGGACCCGCGGUGUAUUAGCUAGUUGGUGAGGUAACGGCUCACCAAGGCAACGAUACAUAGCCGACCUGAGAGGGUGAUCGGCCACACUGGGACUGAGACACGGCCCAGACUCCUACGGGAGGCAGCAGUAGGGAAUCUUCCGCAAUGGACGAAAGUCUGACGGAGCAAUGCCGCGUGAGUGAAGAAGGUUUUCGGAUCGUAAAACUCUGUUGUAAGAGAAGAACAAGUACGUUAGUAACUGAACGUACCUUGACGGUACCUUACCAGAAAGCCACGGCUAACUACGUG
Molecule: ribosomal RNA, 499 nt
Filed under: uncultured bacterium
Lineage: Bacteria
Description: partial 16S ribosomal RNA
Rfam family: Bacterial small subunit ribosomal RNA
Source: RNAcentral